This 796-nucleotide ribosomal RNA is filed under the name uncultured archaeon. Its description in RNAcentral is "bacterial SSU rRNA". It matches the Rfam family "Archaeal small subunit ribosomal RNA", at positions 85 to 879 of the family's 1478-position model. The record is from RNAcentral.
ACUGCUCAGUAACACGUGGAUAACCUGCCCUUGGGUCCGGCAUAACUCCGGGAAACUGGAGAUAAUUCCGGAUAACGCACAUAUGCUGGAAUGCUUUAUGCGUAAAAUGGAUUCGUCUGCCCAAGGAUGGGUCUGCGGCCUAUCAGGUAGUAGUGGGUGUAAUGUACCUACUAGCCAACAACGGGUACGGGUUGUGAGAGCAAGAGCCCGGAGAUGGAUUCUGAGACAUGAAUCCAGGCCCUACGGGGCGCAGCAGGCGCGAAAACUUUACAAUGCGGGAAACCGUGAUAAGGGGACACCGAGUGCCAGCAUCAUAUGCUGGCUGUCCAGGUGUGUAAAAUACACCUGUUAGCAAGGGCCGGGCAAGACCGGUGCCAGCCGCCGCGGUAACACCGGCGGCCCGAGUGGUGAUCGUGAUUAUUGGGUCUAAAGGGUCCGUAGCCGGUUUGGUCAGUCCUCCGGGAAAUCUGAUAGCUCAACUAUUAGGCUUUCGGGGGAUACUGCCAGGCUUGGAACCGGGAGAGGUAAGAGGUACUACAGGGGUAGGAGUGAAAUCUUGUAAUCCCUGUGGGACCACCUGUGGCGAAGGCGUCUUACCAGAACGGGUUCGACGGUGAAGGACGAAAGCUGGGGGCACGAACCGGAUUAGAUACCCGGGUAGUCCCAGCCGUAAACGAUGCUCGCUAGGUGUCAGGCAUGGCGCGACCGUGUCUGGUGCCGCAGGGAAGCCGUGAAGCGAGCCACCUGGGAAGUACGGCCGCAAGGCUGAAACUUAAAGGAAUUGGCGGGGGAGCAC